CAGUCGCCGCGGUAAUACGAAGGGUGCAAGCAUUACUCGGAAUUACUGGGCGUAAAGCGUGUGUAGGUGGUUGUUUAAGUCUGUCGUGAAAGCCCUGGGCUCAACCUGGGAAUUGCGGUGGAUACUGGGCGACUAGAGUGCGGUAGAGGAUAGUGGAAUUUCCGGUGUAGCGGUGAAAUGCGUAGAGAUGUGGAGGAACACCAGUGGCGAAAGCACUCUGCUGGGCCGACACUGACACUGAGAGACGAAAGCUAGGGGAGCAAAUGGGAUUAGAUACCCCAGUAGUCCCUGUCUCUUAUAC
This 301-nucleotide ribosomal RNA is filed under the name uncultured bacterium. RNAcentral describes it as "partial 16S ribosomal RNA". It matches the Rfam family "Bacterial small subunit ribosomal RNA", at positions 509 to 807 of the family's 1533-position model. The record is from RNAcentral.